UUAGCGUUUGAGAGGUCGCAGCAGGACCACAGCAAGAGACCAGUCUGGGCUGUAGAGCAAGUUCAUGAUCUACAUGAGCAAAUUAGCAAGGCCAUGUCUCAUCACUAAAAGUGUUCUUUUUAUCCAAAGGCUGCAACCUGCCCACACGAACCACGUGAGCAGCAGCAGCGAGUGCAACACUGGACAGAUGUGCUUAAAUAACUAUUCUGUGACUUAAAGGACCCGUGAAAGAAAUCUGGAAAUAAGAAGCCCAAGGUUGGAAUGACUUCAAGAGACAAGGAGAAGAGGUCCAAUGAGAUGGCUCAGUGAGCAAAGAACUCAUACAAGCCUCAAAAUCUGAGUUUAAACUCCAGAACCCACAUAAUGGUAGAUAGAGGAAAUUGACUCUGGAGUUGUCUCUCUGGCCUCCACAUGUGCACCAUGGCAUGUGUGUAUGUCCCUCACCACCCCCUCGUCUCUGUCUCUGUCUCUGUCUCUGUCUCUCUCUCUCUCUCUCUCUCUCACACACACACAUACACACACACACAUACACACUAUCAGUUCCUUUUCUGUCAAUAUAUUAGAAUACCUUGACGAAAAGCUUAGAGGAGAAAUUUAUUUUGCCUUACAUUCCAGAGAUAGAGUCCAUUGUGGAUUGUGAGGCUGCAUAGUCAGAAAGCAGAAGCCAGGAAGUGAAGGAACAGGAAAUGAAGGAACAGGAAGUGAAGCCAGGCUAUAAAACCUCUGAGCCUGCUACUCCCUCCCACCAGUGAUGUGGUUGCUCCAGCAAGGCUCUACCUUCCAAACAUAACCUUCCAAAAUAGUGCCACCAAGGGUUCAAAUACAUGAGCUGGGGGACAUUUCACAUUCAAACCACAAUAACGCUUUCCCUCACAAAAGAGGGUAUAAUGGGAAGAAGGUUUGGGUGGGUAUGGGAAAUGUGAUGAGGUGAUCAGACCCAGGGCAUGCUGUACAGAGGGACAAAGGAGCUGUCAUUGGGCCUUGGAGUCAGUAAAUGACAUGGUCCCAUAUCCAUUCCACAUGACAGAAUUCCUUUUCUCUGACUGUCCUGGCUUCUGCUGCUGUGAUAAAUAACCCUGAUAAACAUCAACUUAAGGAAGAAAGGAUUUAUUUAGCUUACAGUUCUAGGCUGUAGUCCAUCCCUGUGGGAGAGUCAAGGAAGGGACUUGAAGUGGCUAGGCACAUCACAGGAACAGUCAGGAGUAGAGAGAAUGCAUGCGUGCAUGCCUACACUCAGCUCAUCAUUUCCUCUUUUAUGCAUUCCAGGACUCAAACCCAGGGGAUGGUGCUGCCCACAGUGGGCUGGGUCUUCCCAUUUCAAAGAACAGAAUCAAGACAGUCCUCACAGACAUGCCUUCAGCCCAGCCCAAUCUAGACAAUCCCUCACUGUAACUCUCCAGGUGACUCUGUAUCAACGACAAAGUAACCAUCACACUAACACUCCACACUGUUGAUCAAUGCUGCCUUUACUUCUUAAAGGACAGAACUCUUCUCUGAUUGAUCAUGUCCCCUGUAGCUAGGAGAGAGUUCUCCCUCUGUUGUCCACACUUACUGCUCAAUGUAAGGAAAUCGGGAUGUGAUGCCCCUCUCUCCUUGCCUGCAGCAAACUCAAGAACGACUAUGCGGGCACUCUGAGGACUGGAAGCAUCAGGCUGACAUCUCUAACAGGAAAUGUGUUAUGAGUUGGGUGGGCUGAAACCUUGCUUUGCUUCAGCCUUUUUUGAUCUUAUCAUUUAAUUGGGCA
Peromyscus maniculatus bairdii (prairie deer mouse) is the source of this 1744-nucleotide non-coding RNA. Lineage: Eukaryota; Metazoa; Chordata; Mammalia; Rodentia; Cricetidae. The record is from RefSeq and is a predicted model, not a curated record.